GGAACCCACUUAUGCAUGCUCCAAUUGAGUGGUGAUGCUUUACCUGUACCACUAAAGGCUCAAUAUUCUGCUCAUCCCUGAUAUAAUCAACCCUUCCUAAUCUUCAUUUGUCUAUCCACAUUAAGAUUGUUUUUGCAUGAUAUUGGCAAGGGAAACAUCUCAAGAAAUGAGGGUGAAUUCGUCCUGAUGAUUUUCCAAGGUUUUGGCGGUGAUUGUUUUUGCAUGAUAUUGGCAAGGGAAACAGCUCAAGAAAUGAGGGAGAAUUCGUCCUGAUGAUUUUCCAAGGUUUUGGCGGAGGCAAGGAGAACUAUAGAAUGCAGAUUCCUUUGCCGUGAUUGCAU
This 341-nucleotide long non-coding RNA is filed under the name Capsicum annuum. RNAcentral's name for it is "long non-coding RNA (CANN_LNC002727)". The record is from RNAcentral. Lineage: Eukaryota; Viridiplantae; Streptophyta; Magnoliopsida; Solanales; Solanaceae.